This 433-nucleotide ribosomal RNA is filed under the name uncultured bacterium. RNAcentral's name for it is "bacterial SSU rRNA". It matches the Rfam family "Bacterial small subunit ribosomal RNA", at positions 29 to 507 of the family's 1533-position model. The record is from RNAcentral.
AGCGAACGCUGGUGGCAUGCUUAACACAUGCAAGUCGCACGGGCAGUAAUGUCAGUGGCGGACGGGUGAGUAACGCGUAGGAACGUGUCUAGAGGUGGGGGACAACCCUGGGAAACUGGGGCUAAUACCGCAUAUGGGCUGAGGCCCAAAGCAGUGAUGCGCCUUUGGAGCGGCCUGCGUCCGAUUAGGUAGUUGGUGGGGUAAAGGCCUACCAAGCCUGCGAUCGGUAGCUGGUCUGAGAGGACGAUCAGCCACACUGGGACUGAGACACGGCCCAGACUCCUACGGGAGGCAGCAGUGGGGAAUAUUGGACAAUGGGCGCAAGCCUGAUCCAGCAAUGCCGCGUGUGUGAAGAAGGUCUUCGGAUCGUAAAGCACUUUCGACAGGGACGAUGAUGACGGUACCUGUAGAAGAAGCCCCGGCUAACUUCGUG